Molecule: unclassified non-coding RNA, 1043 nt
Filed under: Hevea brasiliensis (rubber tree)
Lineage: Eukaryota; Viridiplantae; Streptophyta; Magnoliopsida; Malpighiales; Euphorbiaceae
Source: RNAcentral
AAAAAAUGGGAAUUUGUAAAACAUCAUAUCCAAUAAAUAGUCCAUUAUAUGAAGAGGAUUUUGAUUCAAAAUUGAAUAUAGAAAUUGAAGAAAUUAGGGUUUUGAAUAUGUCUUGCCCAGCGAUUUCGCCUGUAAAAGAAACUUUUUUCAUCUCUCAUGGUUCUCCUACACUUUCCAUUGAUGAAUCUUUGCCUGCAAGAAAUUUUUUGAGAAGUUUCAAACAAAAAUUUUUGAUUAAUCAAAAACCUAAUUCAAUUUUAGUGAUUUCUGCUCAUUGGGAGACUUCAGAACCAACUGUUAAUUCUAUUCGAGGAAGAAAUGAGACUAUUCAUGAUUUCUAUGGAUUUCCCAAAUCCAUGUAUCAGCUCAAGUACCCUGCACCAGGAUCUCCAGAAUUGGCAAAAAGGGUGAAGGAUGUUCUCAUGGCAUCUGGGUUCCCGAUAGUGCACGAGGACAAAAAACGUGGUCUGGAUCAUGGUGCAUGGGUUCCUCUCAUGCUCAUGUAUCCAGAAGCGGACAUUCCAGUCUGCCAACUUUCGGUUCAACCCAAUAGGGAUGGUACUUAUCAUUACAACUUGGGAAAAGCAUUGGCUUCCCUCAAGGAUGAAGGUGUCCUCAUUAUUGGUUCUGGAUCUGCCACUCACAACUUAAGGGCUCUCGGUCCAUCCAAGAAUGUUUCUUCGUGGGCUCUAGAGUUUGAUAACUGGCUUAAGGACGCCCUUCUUAGCGGAAGGCAUCAAGAUGUCAAUAACUAUGACAUGAAGGCGCCGCAUGCAAAAGUUGCCCACCCAUGGCCCGAGCACAUCUAUCCGUUACAUGUAGCACUUGGUGCUGCUGGUGAAGGCGUUAACGGAGAACUUAUUCACCACAGCUGGGAUCUUGGUGCACUAUCUUAUGCUUCCUACAGGUUUCCUAGCCUAAAUAGGUCUUCAUAGAUGAAUGUUUGUGUGUAUUUAUAAUAUAUCUGAUUGUGUUAUAUGUUGUAUAAACUUAUCAAAAGUGAAUUUGUUAUUAUAUAGAAUAAAAUAUAAAGACUGUGAUGG